CGGGGACAACAAUUGGAAACGAUUGCUAAUACCCGAUGUGCAGCAAUGUGAAAGAUUAUUGCCUAGAGAUGAGCUCGCGUCUGAUUAGCUAGUAGGUGUGGUAAUGGCGCACCUAGGCGACGAUCAGUAACUGGUCUGAGAGGAUGACCAGUCACACUGGGACUGAGACACGGCCCAGACUCCUACGGGAGGCAGAAGUGGGGAAUUUUCCGCAAUGGGCGAAAGCCUGACGGAGCAAUACCGCGU
This 246-nucleotide ribosomal RNA is filed under the name uncultured cyanobacterium. RNAcentral's name for it is "partial 16S ribosomal RNA". It matches the Rfam family "Bacterial small subunit ribosomal RNA", at positions 138 to 402 of the family's 1533-position model. Lineage: Bacteria; Bacillati; Cyanobacteriota. The record is from RNAcentral.